UGGGGAAUAUUGCAUAAUGGGCGCAAGCCUGAUGCAGCCAUGCCGCGUGUAUGAAGAAGGCCUUCGGGUUGUAAAGUACUUUCAGCGGGGAGGAAGGCGAUAAGGUUAAUAACCUUGUCGAUUGACGUUACCCGCAGAAGAAGCACCGGCUAACUCCGUGCCAGCAGCCGCGGUAAUACGGAGGGUGCAAGCGUUAAUCGGAAUUACUGGGCGUAAAGCGCACGCAGGCGGUCUGUCAAGUCGGAUGUGAAAUCCCCGGGCUCAACCUGGGAACUGCAUUCGAAACUGGCAGGCUAGAGUCUUGUAGAGGGGGGUAGAAUUCCAGGUGUAGCGGUGAAAUGCGUAGAGAUCUGGAGGAAUACCGGUGGCGAAGGCGGCCCCCUGGACAAAGACUGACGCUCAGGUGCGAAAGCGUGGGGAGCAAACA
This 427-nucleotide ribosomal RNA is filed under the name uncultured bacterium. RNAcentral describes it as "partial 16S ribosomal RNA". It matches the Rfam family "Bacterial small subunit ribosomal RNA", at positions 355 to 774 of the family's 1533-position model. The record is from RNAcentral.